GACGAACGCUGGCGGCGUCCUUAACCCAUGAAAGUCGAACGGUCAGGCUCUUCGGGGUCCACGAGUGGCGAACGGGUGAGUAACACGUGGGUGAUCUGCCCUGCACUUCGGGAUAAGCCUGGGAAACUGGGUCUAAUACCGGAUAGGCCCAUGCGCUUCACGGUGUGUGGUGGAAAGCUUUUGCGGUGUGGGGUGGGCCCGCGGCCUAUCAGCUUGGUGGUGGGGUAAGGGCCUACCAAGUCGACGACGGGUAGCCGGCCUGAGAGAGUGUCCGGCAACACGGGUACUAAGAUACGGCCCUGACUCCAACUGGGGUCAGCUGUUGAGGAUAUUGCACAAUGGGCGCCAGCCGUAUGCAGCGACGCCGCGUGAGGGAUGACGGCCGUCGGUUUGUAAACCUCCUUCAGUAGGGACGAAGGGCAAGUGACGGUGCCUACAGAAGAAGGACCGGCCAACUACGUGCCAGCAGCCGCGGUAA
RNAcentral lists this ribosomal RNA (478 nucleotides) under uncultured bacterium. RNAcentral's name for it is "partial 16S ribosomal RNA". It matches the Rfam family "Bacterial small subunit ribosomal RNA", at positions 28 to 523 of the family's 1533-position model. The record is from RNAcentral.